UGGUCAAGCUCAAAGGG
Molecule: ribosomal RNA, 17 nt
Filed under: Synechococcus sp. BO 981502
Lineage: Bacteria; Bacillati; Cyanobacteriota; Cyanophyceae; Synechococcales; Synechococcaceae
Description: partial 23S ribosomal RNA
Source: RNAcentral